Orcinus orca (killer whale) is the source of this 2035-nucleotide long non-coding RNA. RefSeq lists it as uncharacterized. Lineage: Eukaryota; Metazoa; Chordata; Mammalia; Artiodactyla; Delphinidae. The transcript has 3 exons. The record is from RefSeq and is a predicted model, not a curated record.
AACACAAUGAACAAAACAGACAAAUCCUUGCCCUCUCAGAACUUUCAUGUCAGUGGAGGAGACAAACAAUUAACAAGGUAAAUAUAUAGAAUGUAUGGUAUGACAGAUAAUGAAAAGUACUGCGAGGAAAGUAAAGCAAGGAAGGAGAAUAGGAAGACUCAGGCUGGGGGUUGCAAUUUUAGGUGUUCUGAGCAGGGAAGGCCUCACUGAGAAUGUAGCCUCCAGAAAACAAGGCAGCAAAACAAACAACCAUCUAGGCAAAGGGAACAGCAUUCUAGGCAAAGGGAACAGCAUUCUAGGCAAAGGGGACAGAAAGUACAAUAGCCCUAAGACAUGAAUGUGCUUACUGUGUUCGAACAAGAGCAAGGAAGCUCAUGUGGCUGGAGCAGACUGACCAAGAGGGAGACUUAGAGAGGAACAAAGAAAGAAGUAAUGGGGAGCAGAGAGUGCAGGACUGUGUAAGUCAUAGCAAGGACUUUGACUUUUAUUAUAGGAGAGAUGGGAAACCUUGAGAGAAUUUUGAACAAUAGAGUGACACAAUUUAAUGUACAUUUUAACAGGACCACUCUGGAUAUUGUGUCGGAAAGAGGCUGAAGGGGGCAAGGGAGGAAGCAGGGAAACUAGUUAGGAGAUAACUGAAAUAAUCUAAGCAAGAGAUGACAGUGGCUUGAAGUAGGGUUGUAGCAGUGAAGGAUAGGAGAAGUGGUCAGAAUCUGGAUAUAUCUGGAAGGUAGAACCAACAUGAUUAGUGAAUAGUUGGAUGUGAGAGGGAAAAAAUAGAGCCAAGAAUGACUAUAAAGGUUUUGAACUGAGCAACUGGAAGAAAGGAGCUGUCAUAUAAGUAGAAGGGAAGACUGGGAAGAACAGGUUUAAGGGAAAAGAUCAGGGACCCAACUUAGGCAGUUUGAGUUGCUGUUUCAGUUCUCUAUUACUGCAUAACAAAUCACCACAAAACUUAGUGGCUUAAAAAAAACAAGAAUUAAUUAUCAUGUCUCAUGGUUUCUGUUGGUCAGGAAUUCAAUGGGGGUUAACCAAACAGUGCUUGUUUAAGGUCUCUCAUUGUAAUAAUCCCAGUUUUAGCACUGAAAGUCUUGUGUCCUGGGAAGCCCCUCCCAAGGAUGCGAAAAGUUCUGGGUUUCAGUGAUGGGUGAAGAAUUGAGGAGUAGGGGUAGUACAAUACCCGUACAGUGGCCAAAAAUAUAAGGACUGAAAGCAGGGCUGUUUUUAGUGUCAAAUGGAUACAGCAUGAACUAUCUGUCCAGUCGUUACCAUCACUCACUGAUUUUUCGCCUCACCACUGAUGUUGGCAACCACGAUUUGCAGUUCACAAUAAUGGGUCACCCAUUGUUGCCUCACUUCCAGUGAUGUGAGUUAGGUGUGCAACAUAAGUGUGUGUGAUCAUGGCGUUAACAGUCCAAGUCUGACCUGGCCUAUGAAUUAACUGUUGUGCUUUGAAUUAAGAUUAUAGAGGCCACCUUGAAUAAUCAGGAUAGAUCCCCACCCCGAAAUUGGGUCCGGAUGUUGUUACUGAUGCACACACCAAGAGGCUAUGGAAAGAUUGAAUAUUUACACCACUGAGGUCCCUGAGAAGGGCAGGGCAGGCCUCUCAAGCAGGUCCAGAAUGCCUUGAGAGAGCUGAGCGGCCUGAAUGCACCAGCCAGAGCUAAGUUGUGCUCUACGUUUGAGUAUAACACCAAAAAUAACUUCUGUACAAAAGUUACAGAGGAACAAUAAAUAAAUAAUGAGGGCUUCCCUGGUGGCGCAGUGGUUAAGAAUUCGCCUUCCAAUGCAGGGGACACGGGUUCGAGCCCUGGUCCAGGAAGAUCCCACAUGCCGCGGAGCAACUAAGCCCGUGCACCACAACUACUGAGCCUGUGCUCUAGAGCCCAUGCUCCGCAACAAGAGAAGCCACCGCAAUGAGAAGCCCGCAUACCACAACGAAGAGUAGACCCUGCUCACCGCAACUAGAGAAAGCCCACGCACAGCAACGAAGACCCAAUGCAGCCAAAAAUAAAUAAAUAAAUAAAUAAUGAAA